GACCUCAAAUCAGGUAGGACUACCCGCUGAACUUAAGCAUAUCAAUAAGCGGAGGAAAAGAAACUAACAAGGAUUCCCCUAGUAACUGCGAGUGAAGCGGGAAAAGCUCAAAUUUAAAAUCUGACGGUCUUUUGGUCGUCCGAGUUGUAAUCUAGAGAAGUGUUAUCCGCGUUGGACCGUGUACAAGUCUCCUGGAAUGGAGCGUCAUAGAGGGUGAGAAUCCCGUCUUUGACACGGACUACCAGUGCUUUGUGAUGCGCUCUCAAAGAGUCGAGUUGUUUGGGAAUGCAGCUCAAAAUGGGUGGUAAAUUCCAUCUAAAGCUAAAUAUUGGCGAGAGACCGAUAGCGAACAAGUACCGUGAGGGAAAGAUGAAAAGAACUUUGGAAAGAGAGUUAAACAGUACGUGAAAUUGCUGAAAGGGAAACGCUUGAAGUCAGUCGCGUUGUCCGGGAAUCAACCUUGCUUUUGCUGGGUGUACUUUCCGGUUGACGGGUCAGCAUCAAUUUUGACCGUUGGAUAAAGUGUAGGGGAAUGUGGCAUCUUUGGAUGUGUUAUAGCCCUUGCUCGCAUACAACGGUUGGGAUUGAGGAACUCAGUACGCCGCAAGGCCGGGAAUUUAUUCUACGUUCGUACUUAGGAUGCUGGCAUAAUGGCUUUAAUCGACCCGUCUUGAAACACGGACCAAGGAGUCUAACAUGCCUGCGAGUGUUUGGGUGGAAAACCCGAGCGCGUAAUGAAAGUGAAAGUUGAGAUCCCUGUCGUGGGGAGCAUCGACGCCCGGACCAGACCUUUUGUGACGGAUCUGCGGUAGAGCAUGUAUGUUGGGACCCGAAAGAUGGUGAACUAUGCCUGAAUAGGGUGAAGCCAGAGGAAACUCUGGUGGAGGCUCGUAGCGAUUCUGACGUGCAAAUCGAUCGUCAAAUUUGGGUAUAGGGGCGAAAGACUAAUCGAACCAUCUAGUAGCUGGUUCCU
Molecule: ribosomal RNA, 973 nt
Filed under: Deconica chionophila
Lineage: Eukaryota; Fungi; Basidiomycota; Agaricomycetes; Agaricales; Kuehneromycetaceae
Description: partial large subunit ribosomal RNA
Rfam family: Eukaryotic large subunit ribosomal RNA
Source: RNAcentral